GGGUCUGUAGCUCAGUUGGUUAGAGCAGAGGACUCAUAAUCCUUUGGUCCACGGUUCAAGUCCGUGCAGACCCACCA
This 77-nucleotide transfer RNA is filed under the name Gallionellales bacterium RIFOXYB12_FULL_54_9. RNAcentral describes it as "tRNA-Met". It matches the Rfam family "tRNA". Rfam says of the family: Transfer RNA (tRNA) molecules are approximately 80 nucleotides in length. The record is from RNAcentral. RNAcentral also lists the same sequence under 10 other names. Lineage: Bacteria; Pseudomonadati; Pseudomonadota; Betaproteobacteria; Nitrosomonadales.